This 424-nucleotide ribosomal RNA is filed under the name Verrucomicrobiota bacterium. RNAcentral describes it as "Verrucomicrobia bacterium partial 16S ribosomal RNA". It matches the Rfam family "Bacterial small subunit ribosomal RNA", at positions 355 to 776 of the family's 1533-position model. The record is from RNAcentral. Lineage: Bacteria; Pseudomonadati; Verrucomicrobiota.
UGAGGAAUAUUGGUCAAUGGGCGAGAGCCUGAACCAGCCAAGUAGCGUGCAGGAUGACGGCCCUAUGGGUUGUAAACUGCUUUUAUGUGGGGAUAAAGUGCGUGACGUGUCAUGCAUUGCAGGUACCACGUGAAUAAGGACCGGCUAAUUCCGUGCCAGCAGCCGCGGUAAUACGGAAGGUCCGGGCGUUAUCCGGAUUUAUUGGGUUUAAAGGGAGCGUAGGCUGUCUAUUAAGCGUGUUGUGAAAUAUACCGGCUCAACCGGUGGCUUGCAGCGCGAACUGGUCGACUUGAGUAUGCAGGAAGUAGGCGGAAUUCAUGGUGUAGCGGUGAAAUGCUUAGAUAUCAUGACGAACUCCGAUUGCGCAGGCAGCUUACUGUAGCAUAACUGACGCUGAUGCUCGAAAGUGCGGGUAUCAAACAGG